UCGGCCCCACGGUGGGCGCCAAUUGUUUGUGCAGGAUUCGGUUGAUUAGAACGAUGAACGUAGGAAUGGGGUGACUAAAGACGCUUUUAUUAGAAUCAAACAAGAGGUUACAAGAUUGACGGGAAAUAAGGAGACAAGAUCAAAGGUUCAAGCAACAGGAUCAAAGAGAUGAUUAGGAAACCCUAGAUCUAGCCGCUUCUGUGUGUGUUGUCCAAAAGUCCUCUUUUUUGUUGUCUCCUCAUCCCCUCUUAUAGUGUCCCCGUCCGUGAUGCCCUAAUCGUGUCGUCCUUUGGGCCCUGUCGUUAAAGGCCGAG
Molecule: long non-coding RNA, 314 nt
Filed under: Brassica napus (rape)
Lineage: Eukaryota; Viridiplantae; Streptophyta; Magnoliopsida; Brassicales; Brassicaceae
Description: long non-coding RNA (BNAP_LNC026646)
Source: RNAcentral